Molecule: ribosomal RNA, 939 nt
Filed under: Mycoplasmopsis bovis
Lineage: Bacteria; Bacillati; Mycoplasmatota; Mycoplasmoidales; Metamycoplasmataceae
Description: bacterial SSU rRNA
Rfam family: Bacterial small subunit ribosomal RNA
Source: RNAcentral
CAAUGGACGAAAGUCUGAUGGAGCGACACAGCGUGCAGGAUGAAGGCCCUAUGGGUUGUAAACUGCUGUGGUUAGGGAAGAAAAAGUAGCAUAGGAAAUGAUGCUACCUUGACGGUACCUGAUUAGAAAGCAACGGCUAACUAUGUGCCAGCAGCCGCGGUAAUACAUAGGUUGCAAGCGUUAUCCGAAAUUAUUGGGCGUAAAGCGUCUGUAGGUUGUUUGUUAAGUCUGGCGUUAAAUUUUGGGGCUCAACCCCAAAACGCGUUGGAUACUGGCAGACUAGAGUUAUGUAGAGGUUAGCGGAAUUCCUUGUGAAGCGGUGAAAUGCGUAGAUAUAAGGAAGAACAUCAAUAUGGCGAAGGCAGCUAACUGGGCAUACACUGACACUGAGAGACGAAAGCGGGGGGAGCAAACAGGAUUAGAUACCCUGGUAGUCCACGCCCUAAACGAUGAUCAUUAGUUGAUGGGGAACUCAUCGACGCAGCUAACGCAUUAAAUGAUCCGCCUGAGUAGUACGUUCGCAAGAAUAAAACUUAAAGGAAUUGACGGGGAUCCGCACAAGCGGUGGAGCAUGUGGUUUAAUUUGAUGUUACGCGUAGAACCUUACCCACUCUUGACAUCUUCUGCAAAGCUAUAGAGACAUAGUGGAGGUUAACAGAAUGACAGACGGUGCAUGGUUGUCGUCAGCUCGUGUCGUGAGAUGUUCGGUUAAGUCCUGCAACGAGCGCAACCCUUAUCCUUAGUUACUACCAUUUAGUUGAGCACUCUAAGGAGACUGCCCGAGUAAUCGGGAGGAAGGUGGGGACGACGUCAAAUCAUCAUGCCUCUUACGGGCGGGGCUACACACGUGCUACAAUGGACGGUACAAAGAGAAGCGAAGUGGUGACAUGGAGCAAACCUCAAAAAACCGUUCUCAGUUCGGAUUGAAGUCUGCAACUC